Molecule: transfer RNA, 75 nt
Filed under: Rhizobium sp.
Lineage: Bacteria; Pseudomonadati; Pseudomonadota; Alphaproteobacteria; Hyphomicrobiales; Rhizobiaceae
Also listed under: 16 other names
Description: tRNA-Val
Rfam family: tRNA
About the family: Transfer RNA (tRNA) molecules are approximately 80 nucleotides in length.
Source: RNAcentral
GGGCGGUUAGCUCAGCGGUAGAGCACUACCUUGACAUGGUAGGGGUCACAGGUUCGAAACCUGUACCGCCCACCA